RNAcentral lists this ribosomal RNA (321 nucleotides) under uncultured archaeon. RNAcentral's name for it is "bacterial SSU rRNA". It matches the Rfam family "Archaeal small subunit ribosomal RNA", at positions 19 to 338 of the family's 1478-position model. The record is from RNAcentral.
GGAGGUUACUGCUAUCGGUGUUCGCCUAACCCAUGCGAGUCAUAUGUUCUUCGUGAACAUGGCGUACUGCUCAUUAACACGUGAAUAACCUGCCCUUGGGACCGGCAUAACCCCGGGAAACUGGGGAUAAUUCCGGAUACCGCAUAUAUGCUGGAAUGCUUUAUGCGUGAAAUGGAUUCGUCUGCCCAAGGAUGGAUCUGCGGCCUAUCAGGUAGUAGUGGGUGUAAUGUACCUACUACCCUACAACGGGUACGGGUUGUGAAAGCAAAAGCCCGGAAAUGGAUUCUGAAACAUGAAUCCAGGCCCUACGGGGCGCACCAC